RNAcentral lists this non-coding RNA (25 nucleotides) under Rattus norvegicus (Norway rat). The record is from RNAcentral. Lineage: Eukaryota; Metazoa; Chordata; Mammalia; Rodentia; Muridae.
UCAGUGCACUACUCUGAGGCGUUCU